Molecule: ribosomal RNA, 957 nt
Filed under: Clusia brachycarpa
Lineage: Eukaryota; Viridiplantae; Streptophyta; Magnoliopsida; Malpighiales; Clusiaceae
Description: eukaryotic LSU rRNA
Source: RNAcentral
UUUUCCGUCUUAUAAAAAAAAUUUUGAGUGAAGUGUUCGGAUCGCGGCGACGUGGGCGNGUUCGCUGCCGGCGACGUCGCGAGAAGUCCACUGAACCUUAUCAUUUAGAGGAAGGAGAAGUCGUAACAAGGUUUCCGUAGGUGAACCUGCGGAAGGAUCAUUGUCGAAACCUGCCCAGCAACACAACCCGUGAACUCGUUUAUCGUACCGACGUGGGUUUUGGUGUAAAUCCUCGGGUUUACAGCAUUCCCCAAAAAAGUCGAGGGGUAUGCCCGUUGCUCCGCAGCGUUUGGCUCCUCAAGACAACAAACCAACUCGGGCGCUGGUUGCGCCAAGGAACUUUAUUAAAAACUGAAGGAACUCCCUGCCAUCCCGGAAACGGUGCAUGCGUCGGGGAUCGGUUCCUUGUGGUCAUAAACAAAACGACUCUCGGCAACGGAUAUCUCGGCUCUCGCAUCGAUGAAGAACGUAGCGAAAUGCGAUACUUGGUGUGAAUUGCAGAAUCCCGUGAACCAUCGAGUCUUUGAACGCAAGUUGCGCCCAAAGCCUUUUGGUUGAGGGCACGUCUGCCUGGGUGUCACACAAAGUCGCCCAAGCCCAACACACAGUGGGAAUCGGGCGGAUAUUGGUCUCCCGUGUGCCCUUGCUCGCGGUUGGCCCAAAAUAUGAGCCCUGAUGACUUUAGUCACGGCGAUCGGUGGUUUUUAGGCCCUAGGACAUCGUCGUGCGCUACUGUCUCUCGGUCACUGACGGCCCGAAAAAGCAUAACUGCUUGCUCCUAAAGCGACCCCAGGUCAGGCGGGACUACCCGCUGAGUUUAAGCAUAUCAAUAAGCGGAGGAAAAGAAACUUACCAGGAUUCCCCUAGUAACGGCGAGCGAACCGGGAAAGGCCCAGAUUGAGAAUCRUGUAGCCUUCGGCAUCUGAAUUGUAGUCUAUAAAAACCCCUCUCUUCAAA